AGUGAACGCUGGCGGUAGGCCUAACACAUGCAAGUCGAACGGCAGCACAGUAAGAGCUUGCUCUUACGGGUGGCGAGUGGCGGACGGGUGAAGAAUACAUCGGAAUCUACUUUUUCGUGGGGGAUAACGUAGGGAAACUUACGCUAAUACCGCAUACGACCUACGGGUGAAAGCAGGGGAUCUUCGGACCUUGCGCGAUUGAAUGAGCCGAUGUCGGAUUAGCUAGUUGGCGGGGUAAAGGCCCACCAAGGCGACGAUCCGUAGCUGGUCUGAGAGGAUGAUCAGCCACACUGGAACUGAGACACGGUCCAGACUCCUACGGGAGGCAGCAGUGGGGAAUAUUGGACAAUGGGCGCAAGCCUGAUCCAGCCAUGCCGCGUGAGUGAAGAAGGCCUUCGGGUUGUAAAGCCCUUUUGUUGGGAAAGAAAAGCAGCAGGUUAAUACCCCGCUGUUCUGACGGUACCCAAAGAAUAAGCACCGGCUAACUUCGUG
RNAcentral lists this ribosomal RNA (492 nucleotides) under uncultured bacterium. RNAcentral's name for it is "partial 16S ribosomal RNA". It matches the Rfam family "Bacterial small subunit ribosomal RNA", at positions 29 to 507 of the family's 1533-position model. The record is from RNAcentral.